GGCACUUUGGCGGAGAGGUUAACGCGAUGCCCUGCUAUGUUGUAAAACAAGCCUGUUAGGCAUUUCCUUCGGGAGCGUGUGUUCGAAUCACACAGGUGUCG
This is a non-coding RNA of Bisporella sp. PMI_857, 101 nucleotides long. NCBI's taxonomy places the organism in Eukaryota, Fungi, Ascomycota, Leotiomycetes, Helotiales, Helotiaceae. The record is from the annotation of a GenBank genome assembly.